UUUAUGCUUGCAUUUUCUCUGCAGAGCUUCCCCGACAGCUUUAGCGUGUAUAUUUAUACAUGUAUAGGCUAUAUUUAAAUAUAUAAAUUGCAAGCGUGGUUCUUCGUCUCAGACUUCCAGAUGUAAACAAGGAGCGAUCGUCUACUGCAGAAAGUUGCAUAGGGUUUCUUUAAGUGCCUUCCUCAAGGACACAAGAAGACAGGAAUUGAACCCACAACUUUUCAGGCUACUGCACGCUAGCACAGCUCCUUAACUACUACACUACCACUGCCCAUGUUAGCAGCUACAGUGCUGUACUCACUUGCCAAAGGUGCCAGACCUUAUGGGUCACAUCAGCAGACACAGCGCAUCACUGUCACUUCUCAUCCAGCAGCAGGCGGCUGGGCCGACAGCCAUGAGUAACAUGUUUCCCUCCAAACACACUGAUGGGUUAUGACCCUCUCUCCUCCCAGCAGCCCAGCGCCCCCCAUCCAGGAGGACCACAGCGGCCUAAACAAUGGACAGCUCGGCAGGCCCGUGCCAGUUUAAU
Sardina pilchardus (European sardine) is the source of this 529-nucleotide long non-coding RNA. RefSeq lists it as uncharacterized. Lineage: Eukaryota; Metazoa; Chordata; Actinopteri; Clupeiformes; Clupeidae. The transcript is spliced from 3 exons. The record is from RefSeq and is a predicted model, not a curated record.